AGGGUCUUAGACUCCCCACGAGUGUCGUGUAAAUAGUGCCUGUCUUUGGCCGGAUAGCACGGUUUGUGAAUC
Molecule: non-coding RNA, 72 nt
Filed under: uncultured Prevotella sp.
Lineage: Bacteria; Pseudomonadati; Bacteroidota; Bacteroidia; Bacteroidales; Prevotellaceae
Description: L13-Bacteroidia ribosomal protein leader
Rfam family: L13-Bacteroidia ribosomal protein leader
Source: RNAcentral